AGCGAACGCUGGCGGCAGGCUUAACACAUGCAAGUCGAGCGCCCCGCAAGGGGAGCGGCAGACGGGUGAGUAACACGUGGGAACGUACCCUUUGGUUCGGAACAACCCAGGGAAACUUGGGCUAAUACCGGAUAAGUCCGCGAGGAGAAAGAUUUAUCGCCGAAGGAUCGGCCCGCGUCUGAUUAGCUAGUUGGUGUGGUAACGGCGCACCAAGGCGACGAUCAGUAGCUGGUCUGAGAGGAUGAUCAGCCACACUGGGACUGAGACACGGCCCAGACUCCUACGGGAGGCAGCAGUGGGGAAUAUUGGACAAUGGGGGCAACCCUGAUCCAGCCAUGCCGCGUGAGUGAUGAAGGCCCUAGGGUUGUAAAGCUCUUUCGGUGGGGAAGAUAAUGACGGUACCCACAGAAGAAGCCCCGGCUAACUUCGU
Molecule: ribosomal RNA, 430 nt
Filed under: uncultured bacterium
Lineage: Bacteria
Description: partial 16S ribosomal RNA
Rfam family: Bacterial small subunit ribosomal RNA
Source: RNAcentral